RNAcentral lists this ribosomal RNA (423 nucleotides) under uncultured bacterium. RNAcentral's name for it is "partial 16S ribosomal RNA". It matches the Rfam family "Bacterial small subunit ribosomal RNA", at positions 359 to 773 of the family's 1533-position model. The record is from RNAcentral.
GAAUAUUGGCCAAUGGGGGGAACCCUGAUCCAGCCAUGCCGCGUGUGUGAAGGAGCCCUUUUGGUUGUAAAGCACUUUAAGCGACGAGGAAGCUACCCUAGUCAAUACCUAUCGCUACUGGCAGUUGCUCGCUGGAUAAGGACCGGCUAGCGCUUUGCCCGCCUCCGCGGUAAUACAGAGGGUGCAAGCGUUAAUCGGAUUUACUGGGCGUAAAGCGCGCGUAGGUGGCCAAUUAAGUCAAAUGUGAAAUCCCCGAGCUUAACUUGGGAAUUGCAUUCGAUACUGGUUGGCUAGAGUAUGGGAGAGGAUGGUAGAAUUCCAGGUGUAGCGGUGAAAUGCGUAGAGAUCUGGAGGAAUACCGAUGGCGAAGGCAGCCAUCUGGCCUAAUACUGACACUGAGGUGCGAAAGCAUGGGGAGCAAAC